GUAAGCAUAUAGGGAAACUUGUAUGUAGACACGGAGCAAAACCGUGCAACAAAGAAACUGAAUUGCUGGGAACUCUUAAAGCUAGUAUAACCACAACAUAAUACCUAAGUGAGAAUAUGGUAUAAGUGUGAUGGUGGCGAAAGCAGAAAAAAUAUACUAGAUGAUGCAAGGUUAAAUCCUAAACAUUAUGAUAAUAGACAAUCAGCAGCUAAGCCUGAAAAGGAAAGUUCAACGACUAUCCCUCGUGAGGGGAGUACAAUACAAGCGAUUGGUAUUGGAAGUGGUUUCGCCUAAGGUGUUGAGAUACACUAUGGAUAAGAUAUAGUCUGUGCUUGUUAGAGAUAACAAG
Molecule: non-coding RNA, 349 nt
Filed under: Fusobacterium periodonticum ATCC 33693
Lineage: Bacteria; Fusobacteriati; Fusobacteriota; Fusobacteriia; Fusobacteriales; Fusobacteriaceae
Description: Group I catalytic intron
Rfam family: Group I catalytic intron
About the family: Group I catalytic introns are large self-splicing ribozymes. They catalyse their own excision from mRNA, tRNA and rRNA precursors in a wide range of organisms.
Source: RNAcentral